Molecule: ribosomal RNA, 893 nt
Filed under: Mycotribulus mirabilis
Lineage: Eukaryota; Fungi; Basidiomycota; Agaricomycetes; Agaricales; Physalacriaceae
Description: eukaryotic LSU rRNA
Rfam family: Eukaryotic large subunit ribosomal RNA
Source: RNAcentral
AUAUCAAUAAGCGGAGGAAAAGAAACUAACAAGGAUUCCCCUAGUAACUGCGAGUGAAGAGGGAAAAGCUCAAAUUUAAAAUCUGGCAGCUUCGCUGUCCGAGUUGUAAUUUAGAGAAGUGUUGCCCGCGUUGGACCGUGUAUAAGUCUCCUGGAAUGGUGCGUCAUAGAGGGUGAGAAUCCCGUCUUUGACACGGACUACCAAUGCAUUGUGGUACGCUCUCAAAGAGUCGUGUUGUUUGGGAAUGCAGCACUAAAUGGGUGGUAAAUUCCAUCUAAAGCUAAAUAUUGGCGAGAGACCGAUAGCGAACAAGUACCGUGAGGGAAAGAUGAAAAGAACUUUGGAAAGAGAGUUAAACAGUACGUGAAAUUGUUGAAAGGGAAACGUUUGAAGUCAGUCGCGUCGGCUGGGAAUCAGUCUUGCUUUUGCUUGAUGUACUUUCUAGUCGACGGGUCAGCAUCAGUUUUGACUGCUGGAUAAAGGUUGAGGGAAUGUGGCACCUUCGGGUGUGUUAUAGCCCUUGGUCAUAUACAGUGGUUGGGACUGAGGUACUCAGCACGCCGCAAGGCCGGGUUUCGACCACGUUCGUGCUUAGGAUGCUGGCAAAAUGGCUUUAAGCGACCCGUCUUGAAACACGGACCAAGGAGUCUAACAUGCCUGCGAGUAUUUGGGUGGAAAACCCGAGUGCGCAAUGAAAGUGAAAGUUGAGAACUCUUUAGAGUGCAUCGACGCCCGGACCAGACGUUUUCUGACGGAUCCGCGGUUGAGCAUGUAUGUUGGGACCCGAAAGAUGGUGAACUAUGCCUGAAUAGGGCGAAGCCAGAGGAAACUCUGGUGGAGGCUCGUAGCGAUUCUGACGUGCAAAUCGAUCGUCGAAUUUGGGUAUAGGGGCG